Molecule: ribosomal RNA, 495 nt
Filed under: uncultured bacterium
Lineage: Bacteria
Description: partial 16S ribosomal RNA
Rfam family: Bacterial small subunit ribosomal RNA
Source: RNAcentral
GACGAACGCUGGCGGCGUGCCUAAUACAUGCAAGUAGAACGCUGAAGGAGGAGCUUGCUUCUCUGGAUGAGUUGCGAACGGGUGAGUAACGCGUAGGUAACCUGCCUGGUAGCGGGGGAUAACUAUUGGAAACGAUAGCUAAUACCGCAUAAUAGUAGAUGUUGCAUGACAUUUGCCUAAAAGGUGCAAUUGCAUCACUACCAGAUGGACCUGCGUUGUAUUAGCUAGUUGGUGGGGUAACGGCUCACCAAGGCGACGAUACAUAGCCGACCUGAGAGGGUGAUCGGCCACACUGGGACUGAGACACGGCCCAGACUCCUACGGGAGGCAGCAGUAGGGAAUCUUCGGCAAUAGACGGAAGUCUGACCGAGCAACGCCGCGUGAGUGAAGAAGGUUGUCGGAUCGUAAAGCUCUGUUGUAAGAGAAGAACGAGUGUGAGAGUGGAAAGUUCACACUGUGACGGUAUCUUACCAGAAAGGGACGGCUAACUACGUG